GACGAACGCUGUCGGCGUGCUUAACACAUGCAAGUCGAACGGAAAGGCCCUGCUUUUGUGGGGUGCUCGAGUGGCGAACGGGUGAGUAACACGUGAGUAACCUGCCCUUGACUUUGGGAUAACUUCAGGAAACUGGGGCUAAUACCGGAUAGGAGCUCCUGCUGCAUGGUGGGGGUUGGAAAGUUUCGGCGGUUGGGGAUGGACUCGCGGCUUAUCAGCUUGUUGGUGGGGUAGUGGCUUACCAAGGCUUUGACGGGUAGCCGGCCUGAGAGGGUGACCGGCCACAUUGGGACUGAGAUACGGCCCAGACUCCUACGGGAGGCAGCAGUGGGGAAUAUUGCACAAUGGGCGGAAGCCUGAUGCAGCAACGCCGCGUGCGGGAUGACGGCCUUCGGGUUGUAAACCGCUUUCGCCUGUGACGAAGCGUGAGUGACGGUAAUGUGUAAAGAAGCACCGGCUAACUACGUG
Molecule: ribosomal RNA, 468 nt
Filed under: uncultured bacterium
Lineage: Bacteria
Description: partial 16S ribosomal RNA
Rfam family: Bacterial small subunit ribosomal RNA
Source: RNAcentral